RNAcentral lists this ribosomal RNA (586 nucleotides) under uncultured bacterium. RNAcentral describes it as "bacterial SSU rRNA". It matches the Rfam family "Bacterial small subunit ribosomal RNA", at positions 339 to 916 of the family's 1533-position model. The record is from RNAcentral.
CUACGGGAGGCAGCAGUGGGGAAUCUUGCGCAAUGGGCGAAAGCCUGACGCAGCGACGCCGCGUGGGUGAUGAAGGCCUUCGGGUUGUAAAGCUCUGUGGGGAGAGACGAAUAAGACGUGCCUAACAUCCACGGCGAUGACGGUAUCUCCUUAGCAAGCACCGGCUAACUCUGUGCCAGCAGCCGCGUUAAGACAGAGGGUGCAAACGUUGUUCGGAAUUACUGGGCGUAAAGCGUGUGUAGGCGGCCAGGUAAGUUGGAUGUGAAAGCCCCGGGGCUCAACCCCGGAAGUGCAUUCAAAACUGCUUGGCUUGAGUAUCGGAGAGGUUGGUGGAAUUCUCGGUGUAGAGGUGAAAUUCGUAGAUAUCGAGAGGAACACCGGUGGCGAAGGCGGCCAACUGGACGAAUACUGACGCUGAGACACGAAAGCGUGGGGAGCAAACAGGAUUAGAUACCCUGGUAGUCCACGCCGUAAACGAUGGGUGCUAGGUGUCACGGGCAUUGACUCCSGUGGUGCCGUAGCCAACGCAUUAAGCACCCCGCCUGGGAAGUACGGCCGCAAGGCUAAAACUCAAAGGAAUUGACGG